GUGAGCCGUGUGAUGGGAAACCUUCCUGCAUGGUUCAGAGAGCAUUGAAUUAUUAGAAUGAGACGUUUACCACCACAUCAUUGCAUGCAAGGGAGCUUGCUCAGUUCGCAGAUUGGUUUGACCCGUAAUUAACUUCUGACCCGUGU
This 146-nucleotide non-coding RNA is filed under the name Solanum pimpinellifolium. The record is from RNAcentral. Lineage: Eukaryota; Viridiplantae; Streptophyta; Magnoliopsida; Solanales; Solanaceae.